Artibeus jamaicensis (Jamaican fruit-eating bat) is the source of this 258-nucleotide long non-coding RNA. RefSeq lists it as uncharacterized. The record is from RefSeq and is a predicted model, not a curated record. The transcript is spliced from 2 exons. Lineage: Eukaryota; Metazoa; Chordata; Mammalia; Chiroptera; Phyllostomidae.
UCCACAGUGCUGAGAGGCUUGACGAUUCCUCCCUGUGGGACGGCGUUCACACUGAACCCCUAAGCACCUAGACCCUGCUGGGGUGACCUGUUAAAUUCCUGAGAUAGAAGAAAGCUGGAGGGAGAGAGAGGAAGAGAAACAAUGAUGUGAGAGGGAACCAGUGAUUGGUUGCCUCUGAGUAUGCACUCCUACCAGGAUCAAAUCUGCCACAUUUUGGUGUACAAGAUGGCGCUCCAAACCAUUGAAGGACUUAGCCAG